AAGACUAUACUUUCAGGGAUCAUUUCUAUAGUUUCUAACUAGGAAAUGUGAUUGGAAAGUGUUACGUUUCUCUAAUCACGAUGAUGAGUUAUGAUGUACUUUUCUGAGCAUGAAUCAGAUUAUAGCUUUGUGUUUCAUGAAUGAGCUAUAAUUGUUGAUGAGUGUUCUCUGUCUUUAAAAGACAUCAGAAGAAAAGUAUGUGAUCAGAGUGAU
Small nucleolar RNA from Clarias gariepinus (North African catfish), 213 nucleotides. RefSeq annotates it as small nucleolar RNA U3. The record is from RefSeq and is a predicted model, not a curated record. The transcript has a single exon. NCBI's taxonomy places the organism in Eukaryota, Metazoa, Chordata, Actinopteri, Siluriformes, Clariidae.